CGCGUAGGUGGUUUUUUAAGUCGGAUGUGAAAUCCCCGGGCUUAACCUGGGAACUGCACCCGAUACUGGACGACUAGAGUGCGAGAGAGGGAGGUAGAAUUCCACGUGUAGCGGUGAAAUGCGUAGAUAUGUGGAGGAAUACCGGUGGCGAAGGCGGCCUCCUGGCUCGACACUGACGCUGAGGUACGAAAGCGUGGGGAGCAAACA
This 207-nucleotide ribosomal RNA is filed under the name uncultured bacterium. RNAcentral's name for it is "partial 16S ribosomal RNA". It matches the Rfam family "Bacterial small subunit ribosomal RNA", at positions 568 to 774 of the family's 1533-position model. The record is from RNAcentral.